UUAACAGGAAGCUGAAUCGUAUGAUGAUUUUGAUGAUGACCCUGUAAAUGUUGAAGGCGCUAACUAGGCUCAUGCAAGUUCAUUGAGUGCAAGUAAAGUUUCCCAAGUUGUUGCUGCUAAUCGACAUAAGUCAAAGAGAACAUGACCUUGAAACUUAAUGGCGGCGGCAAACAUGAACUGCAUGAGAGAACAUUAGUAUUGAAGGAUUGAAGAACGCGUGCUCUACUUGAAGAUUUUAUAAUAGGACAGGGUUAUACCAGUGGUUGCUUUGAAUAUAGCUAUUUGUUCAGAUUCCAUGGCUCAUGGAAAUAAAAGAUCAAGGCUUUUGAGUAGCAGAUGAUUAGAUACUUAAAGCCAUGAAGGUUUAGCUUGUCACCAUCAAACACUAGAGAAAAACCACCAGUUUGAUAGUUGGCAAGCAAUAUGCUUGCAAGACCCUGAACCAACCACCACAACUAAGCAAUAUGCAUGCAACUCCAUUUGAGCUCUCAUUCUGCCUUCAGUUUGAUAGUUGGUUGUGAUUGAAGAUAUUGGGAAUUAGAUUAAGCAACUAUAAACCUACAAGGUGCAGU
Long non-coding RNA from Rosa chinensis, 572 nucleotides. RefSeq lists it as uncharacterized. The transcript has 7 exons. NCBI's taxonomy places the organism in Eukaryota, Viridiplantae, Streptophyta, Magnoliopsida, Rosales, Rosaceae. The record is from RefSeq and is a predicted model, not a curated record.